Molecule: ribosomal RNA, 540 nt
Filed under: uncultured Vibrio sp.
Lineage: Bacteria; Pseudomonadati; Pseudomonadota; Gammaproteobacteria; Vibrionales; Vibrionaceae
Description: bacterial SSU rRNA
Rfam family: Bacterial small subunit ribosomal RNA
Source: RNAcentral
UGCAGUCGAGCGGAACGAGAAGUAGCUUGCUACUUCGGCGUCGAGCGGCGGACGGGUGAGUAAUGCCUAGGAAAUUGCCUUGAUGUGGGGGAUAACUAUUGGAAACGAUAGCUAAUACCGCAUAACGCCUACGGGCCAAAGAGGGGGAUCUUCGGACCUCUCGCGUCAAGAUAUGCCUAGGUGGGAUUAGCUAGUUGGUGAGGUAAUGGCUCACCAAGGCAACGAUCCCUAGCUGGUCUGAGAGGAUGAUCAGCCACACUGGAACUGAGACACGGUCCAGACUCCUACGGGAGGCAGCAGUGGGGAAUAUUGCACAAUGGGCGCAAGCCUGAUGCAGCCAUGCCGCGUGUAUGAAGAAGGCCUUCGGGUUGUAAAGUACUUUCAGUCGUGAGGAAGGUUCAUACGUUAAUAGCGUAUGGAUUUGACGUUAGCGACAGAAGAAGCACCGGCUAACUCCGUGCCAGCAGCCGCGGUAAUACGGAGGGUGCGAGCGUUAAUCGGAAUUACUGGGCGUAAAGCGCAUGCAGGUGGUUCGUUAAG